Molecule: ribosomal RNA, 253 nt
Filed under: uncultured bacterium
Lineage: Bacteria
Description: partial 16S ribosomal RNA
Rfam family: Bacterial small subunit ribosomal RNA
Source: RNAcentral
UACGUAGGGGGCAAGCGUUGUCCGGAAUCAUUGGGCGUAAAGAGCGUGUAGGCGGCCAGAUAAGUCCGCUGUGAAAUCUCGAGGCUCAACUUCGAGCUGUCGGUGGAAACUGUCUGGCUAGAGUCCGGAAGAGGAGAAUGGAAUUCCUGGUGUAGCGGUGAAAUGCGCAGAUAUCAGGAAGAACACCCGUGGCGAAGGCGGUUCUCUGGGAAGUACCUGACGCUCAGGUGCGAAAGCCAGGGGAGCGAACGGG